ACUUAAAUAGCUUAUAAAGAGUUUAAUAUUGAAGAUAUUAAGGAAAUAGAAAUAUUUUUAAGUA
Molecule: transfer RNA, 64 nt
Filed under: Coleoptera sp. 2 KM-2017
Lineage: Eukaryota; Metazoa; Arthropoda; Insecta; Coleoptera
Also listed under: 1 other name
Description: tRNA-Phe
Source: RNAcentral